GCAGGAGAAGUUCAGAGGGAGAGAGAGAUUGACUCUGUUUACUAUAACAAGGGCUUUGGGAAUUAUGAGCCAGGAACUGUAGACCAAAACCGUACAAAUAUUGAGUGGAAAUACUGGUUUGCAUGACUAUAAACUCCAAGAGGGAGAGGACCACAGAAAUGGAGCAUCAAAAUAUUUUUGGGAAGGAAGAUGUUUCAAUCUCCCUCAAAUCUAUGUUGGGGUUUAUUUCUGCUGCCAAGGUCUAAAACAGCUAUGAAGUUGUGUCUUACUAUUUCUUCCAGUGGCCUGCAAUCCACUGGAAACCAUUUCCUCUGUUGUCCAGCAAGCAGUUUAAUUGAGUACUGCAGUACUCUUCUUGAGGCAGUACAAGUUGGGGAAUAAACUCAAGUAAGGGGUCAUGUCCUGUUUAGAAGAAACAAUCAUUUUAAGAGUAAAGAAUUUGUUUUGACUGAAGAUAAUGAUGGAAAUAAUGGAAGACAAGAAGUUAAGAAAUUACAUAUAA
RNAcentral lists this long non-coding RNA (502 nucleotides) under Homo sapiens (human). RNAcentral describes it as "HSALNT0112141". Lineage: Eukaryota; Metazoa; Chordata; Mammalia; Primates; Hominidae. The record is from RNAcentral.